Molecule: transfer RNA, 72 nt
Filed under: Bos taurus (domestic cattle)
Lineage: Eukaryota; Metazoa; Chordata; Mammalia; Artiodactyla; Bovidae
Also listed under: 3 other names
Rfam family: tRNA
About the family: Transfer RNA (tRNA) molecules are approximately 80 nucleotides in length. Their secondary structure includes four short double-helical elements and three loops (D, anti-codon, and T loops).
Source: Rfam by way of RNAcentral
UCCCUGAUGGCUCAGUUGGUAAAGAAUCUGCCUGCAAUGCAGGAGACCCUGGUUCAAUUCCUGGGUUGGGAA